GACGAACGCUGGCGGCGCGCUUAACACAUGCAAGUCGAACGGAAAGGCCUGCUUUCCCUUGUGGAUUGCGGGUACUCGAGUGGCGAACGGGUGAGUAACACGUGAGUGAUCUGCCCCCAACUUGGGUAUAAGCCUGGGAAACUGGGUCUAAUUCCCGAUAGGACUGCAGGGUGGUGCCUGUGGUGGAAAACGAUUUUCUAGUGGUUGGGGAUGAGCUCGCGGCCUAUCAGCUUGUUGGUGGGGUAAUGGCCUACCAAGGCGGCGACGGGUAGCCGGCCUGAGUGGGUGGACGGCCACAUUGGGACUGAGAUACGGCCCAGACUCCUACGGGAGGCAGCAGUGGGGAAUAUUGCACAAUGGGCGGAAGCCUGAUGCAGCGACGCCGCGUGGGGGAUGACGGCCUUCGGGUUGUAAACUCCUUUCGACCGCGAGGAAGCCACCUGGUUGGAAGGGUGGUGACGGUAGUGGUAGAAGAAGCACCGGCUAACUACGUG
This 494-nucleotide ribosomal RNA is filed under the name uncultured bacterium. RNAcentral describes it as "partial 16S ribosomal RNA". It matches the Rfam family "Bacterial small subunit ribosomal RNA", at positions 28 to 507 of the family's 1533-position model. The record is from RNAcentral.